Molecule: microRNA precursor, 62 nt
Filed under: Mandrillus leucophaeus (drill)
Lineage: Eukaryota; Metazoa; Chordata; Mammalia; Primates; Cercopithecidae
Description: miRNA (ENSMLEG00000002248.1)
Source: RNAcentral
GUGCAAAAGUAAUUGUAGUUUUUGCUAUUUCAGUGACAAAAACCACAAUUACUUUUGCACCA